AAAGUCUUAAGUUAAGCAAAAAACUAUUAACCUUCAAAGUUGGAAAUGAAAAUUUUUAGACUUUG
This 65-nucleotide transfer RNA is filed under the name Cacopsylla fuscicella. RNAcentral's name for it is "tRNA-Trp". The record is from RNAcentral. Lineage: Eukaryota; Metazoa; Arthropoda; Insecta; Hemiptera; Psyllidae.